Molecule: ribosomal RNA, 496 nt
Filed under: uncultured bacterium
Lineage: Bacteria
Description: partial 16S ribosomal RNA
Rfam family: Bacterial small subunit ribosomal RNA
Source: RNAcentral
GAUGAACGCUGGCGGCGUGCCUAAUACAUGCAAGUCGAGCGAACGGACGAGAAGCUUGCUUCUCUGAUGUUAGCGGCGGACGGGUGAGUAACACGUGGAUAACCUACCUAUAAGACUGGGAUAACUUCGGGAAACCGUAGCUAAUACCGGAUAAUAUUUUGAACCGCAUGGUUCAAAAGUGAAAGACGGUCUUGCUGUCACUUAUAGAUGGAUCCGCGCUGCAUUAGCUAGUUGGUAAGGUAACGGCUUACCAAGGCAACGAUGCAUAGCCGACCUGAGAGGGUGAUCGGCCACACUGGAACUGAGACACGGUCCAGACUCCUACGGGAGGCAGCAGUAGGGAAUCUUCCGCAAUGGGCGAAAGCCUGACGGAGCAACGCCGCGUGAGUGAUGAAGGUCUGCGGAUCGUAAAACUCUGUUAUUAGGGAAGAACAUAUGUGUAAGUAACUGUGCACAUCUUGACGGUACCUAAGCAGAAAGCCACGGCUAAAUACGU